AUCCCAUGGCGAGGACAAUGUCUUAGCAAUUUCUCGAGUCUCCCCCAAGCAUCAAAUAAAGACUCAUCAUCUCCUUGUCUAAAUGAAGUGAUUUCAUUUCUCAUAUU
Molecule: small nucleolar RNA, 107 nt
Organism: Lathyrus oleraceus (garden pea)
Lineage: Eukaryota; Viridiplantae; Streptophyta; Magnoliopsida; Fabales; Fabaceae
Source: RefSeq, a predicted model, not a curated record